UACGUAGGGCGCAAGCGUUGUCCGGAAUUAUUGGGCGUAAAGAGCUCGUAGGCGGUCUGUCGCGUCUGCUGUGAAAUCCCGAGGCUCAACCUCGGGCUUGCAGUGGGUACGGGCAGACUAGAGUGCGGUAGGGGAGAAUGGAAUUCCUGGUGUAGCGGUGGAAUGCGCAGAUAUCAGGAGGAACACCGAUGGCGAAGGCAGUUUCUCUGGGCCGUAACUGACGUCCGAGGAGCGAAAG
RNAcentral lists this ribosomal RNA (238 nucleotides) under uncultured Actinomycetales bacterium. RNAcentral describes it as "partial 16S ribosomal RNA". It matches the Rfam family "Bacterial small subunit ribosomal RNA", at positions 524 to 759 of the family's 1533-position model. Lineage: Bacteria; Bacillati; Actinomycetota; Actinomycetes; Actinomycetales. The record is from RNAcentral.